GAUCAACGCUGGCGGCGUGCCUAAUACAUGCAAGUCGAGCGAACGGACGAGAAGCUUGCUUCUCUGAUAUUAGCGGCGGACGGGUGAGUAACACGUGGAUAACCUACCUAUAAGACUGGGAUAACUUCGGGAAACCGUAGCUAAUACCGGAUAAUAUUUUGAACCGCAUGGUUCAAAAGUGAAAGACGGUCUUGCUGUCACUUAUAGAUGGAUCCGCGCUGCAUUAGCUAGUUGGUAAGGUAACGGCUUACCAAGGCAACGAUGCAUAGCCGACCUGAGAGGGUGAUCGGCCACACUGGAACUGAGACACGGUCCAGACUCCUACGGGAGGCAGCAGUAGGGAAUCUUCCGCAAUGGGCGAAAGCCUGAUGGAGCAACGCCGCGUGAGUGAUGAAGGUCUUCGGAUCGUAAAACUCUGUUAUUAGGGAAGAACAUAUGUGUAAGUAACUGUGCACAUCUUGACGGUACCUAAUCAGAAAGCCACGGCUAACUACGUG
This 497-nucleotide ribosomal RNA is filed under the name uncultured bacterium. Its description in RNAcentral is "partial 16S ribosomal RNA". It matches the Rfam family "Bacterial small subunit ribosomal RNA", at positions 28 to 507 of the family's 1533-position model. The record is from RNAcentral.